RNAcentral lists this ribosomal RNA (482 nucleotides) under uncultured bacterium. RNAcentral's name for it is "partial 16S ribosomal RNA". It matches the Rfam family "Bacterial small subunit ribosomal RNA", at positions 30 to 507 of the family's 1533-position model. The record is from RNAcentral.
AUUGAACGCUGGCGGCAUGCCUUACACAUGCAAGUCGAACGGUAACGGGCCUUCGGGUGCCGACGAGUGGCGCACGGGUGAGUAAUACAUCGGAACGUGCCCGAUCGUGGGGGAUAACGAGGCGAAAGCUUUGCUAAUACCGCAUACGAUCUACGGAUGAAAGCAGGGGACCGCAAGGCCUUGCGCGGACGGAGCGGCCGAUGGCAGAUUAGGUAGUUGGUGGGAUAAAAGCUUACCAAGCCGACGAUCUGUAGCUGGUCUGAGAGGAUGAUCAGCCACACUGGGACUGAGAUACGGCCCAGACUCCUACGGGAGGCAGCAGUGGGGAAUUUUGGACAAUGGGCGCAAGCCUGAUCCAGCCAUGCCGCGUGCAGGAUGAAGGCCUUCGGGUUGUAAACUGCUUUUGUACGGAACGAAAAGCCUUCUUUUAAUACAGGAGGGUCAUGACGGUACCGUAAGAAUAAGCACCGGCUAACUACGUG